RNAcentral lists this transfer RNA (63 nucleotides) under Zichya baranovi. RNAcentral's name for it is "tRNA-Cys". The record is from RNAcentral. Lineage: Eukaryota; Metazoa; Arthropoda; Insecta; Orthoptera; Tettigoniidae.
GGCUUUAUAGUCAACAAUGAUAUUAGACUGCAAUUCUAAAGGAGUAGUGUUCUACUAAGGCUU